GAAAGGUAAAACAGUAAUUGAACUGAUCUUGUUCUGCUAAGACUGGUCUUAUAAUUUGUUGAAAUGUAUUUAUUGGUACAGCUGGAAAUAGAAAAUCAGGUCUCAUUUCUUCCUGCUGUUUGGCAAAGGCUACACUGGGGAAGUGACCAUAGAGUUUAAGCCCAGAGGCUUUAACAAAUACUGUGCCUGGUUAAAUAUACCACUUCCACACAGGAGAAAACCCUGCUCUCUUUUUUUUUUUUAAGUUGUAGAUGAACAAAUACCUUUAUUUUGUUUGUUUAUUUUUAUGUGGUGCUGAGGAUUGAACCCAGUGCCUCACACAUGCAAGGCAAGCACUCAACCACUGAGCCACAACCCCAGCCCAAAACCCUGUUCUUUUAAUUUGUG
This 387-nucleotide long non-coding RNA is filed under the name Marmota monax (woodchuck). The record is from RNAcentral. Lineage: Eukaryota; Metazoa; Chordata; Mammalia; Rodentia; Sciuridae.